RNAcentral lists this ribosomal RNA (406 nucleotides) under uncultured bacterium. Its description in RNAcentral is "partial 16S ribosomal RNA". It matches the Rfam family "Bacterial small subunit ribosomal RNA", at positions 30 to 526 of the family's 1533-position model. The record is from RNAcentral.
AUUGAACGCUGGAGGUAGGCCUAAAACAUGCAAGUCGAACGUGUGGCGGACGGGUGAGUCAUGUCUGGGAAAUUGCCCGAUGGAGGGGGAUAUGUACUGGAAACGGUGACUAAUACCGCCAACCAUAGGAUGUGUCUUGAUGGGAUUAGAUAGUAGGUGGGGUAACGGCACACCUAGGCGACGAUCCCUAGCUGGUUUGAGAGGAUGACCAGCCACACUGGAACUGAGACACGGUCCAGACUCCUACGGGAGGCAGCAGUUGGGAAUAUUGCACAAUGGGCGCAAGCCUGAUGCAGCCAUGCCGCGUGUAUGAAGAAGGCCUUCGGGUUGUAAAGUACUUUCAGCGAGGAGGCGUUACUCGCAGAAGAAGCACCGGCUAACUCCGUGCCAGCCGCCGCGGUAAUAC